UAUUGGUCAAUAGCCUAACGGCUGAACCAGCAACUUGGAGGAAUGUAUAGGGAAAACUGGUAAAAUGUGAUGUACCUAGUAGUAUUAGAAAUAAAUAUGAUAUUAACUAAGUUAAUUAAAAUUCUAAGUAGGUAUGUGAUUAUGACAAUAUCUGCAUAGGUCUUGACCAAGUCACGUGCCAGCAGUCGCGGUAAUACGUGGAAGACGAGCGUUGUUCAUCUUUAUUGGGUUUAAAGGGUACCUAGACAGUUAAUUAAACAAUAAGAUGUACUAAUUAACUAGAGUUUAAUGUAAGAAGGAUUGAGUACGGUGAGAGUAGAGAUAAAAUUUUUUGAUACCACUUAGGAACUGGUAACAGCGAAGGCUAC
Molecule: ribosomal RNA, 368 nt
Filed under: Ocellularia ascidioidea
Lineage: Eukaryota; Fungi; Ascomycota; Lecanoromycetes; Ostropales; Graphidaceae
Description: SSU rRNA
Rfam family: Bacterial small subunit ribosomal RNA
Source: RNAcentral